Molecule: long non-coding RNA, 456 nt
Filed under: Androctonus crassicauda
Lineage: Eukaryota; Metazoa; Arthropoda; Arachnida; Scorpiones; Buthidae
Source: RNAcentral
GUUUCCAAAUAAAAAAAAAAAAUUUAAAGACUUGACAUUAUGUUCAAAAAUAAAAACUUUACGUAGAGCUUUGUAUAUAUAUUUUUUUUUUUUUUCUUUCGCUAUGACGUACAAUUUUACUACUACCGACCAUAACCCGCUCACCAUACAAUUUUCACCAUUCCGAAACUGAUAGCGCUGUGGGAUCUGAAAUGGUUGAUGCAAUACAGUAUUGCAGUGGUUCUCAGUCUUUUCAUAAGUGCACCGAAUUCAAAAUUCAUAAAUUUCAGUAUCACUAACAAAAAUAUCUCGUGUAUACAAGUAGGACUUGUAUACACAAGAUCUUGUGUAUACAGGUACCAUCAAUCUUCUCUCCUGUACCACUGGUUGAGAAUCGUUUCAGUAUUUUAUAUAUACAUAUAUAUAGUAUGGCAAUUUUUAUUUUAUCGUAAUAAACGAUUCCUUUUUUUUAUUCAC